RNAcentral lists this long non-coding RNA (1113 nucleotides) under Ailuropoda melanoleuca (giant panda). RNAcentral's name for it is "lncRNA (ENSAMEG00000031100.1)". The record is from RNAcentral. Lineage: Eukaryota; Metazoa; Chordata; Mammalia; Carnivora; Ursidae.
CAGGAGAGUACAAACAGUAUAGAAAUGGUUUCCUUUUCACCGUUGAAAUCCUUUGCAGUGACAUUCUAGAAAAUGCCGAGAGUCCUCUAUGGGGAGAGUUGGUCACUAUUUUAAAGGUGGCUUGAAAUACAUGGGCUAAUCUAGGAGAGAAGACUAAACCCAGGCUAAGACUAUAAUUGGGAAAGAGUCAGCAGUCACUCCUGUUAGGCAGGAUAGGGGAGAGGGGAACGUUUGAUCAUUUCUGUAGUCAGACAGUGUUCAUGUUUUGUCUGUGUUCAGACAUAGUUACGAAGUGGUCUUGUCUUUGUCUUGGUCCAUCCUGGUCACAGAAUGGCUUCAUCUGAUGUUGACACUCUGUGAAAUGCUUUAUGUUCAACAGGAGAACACCAAGGCCUCACUGAGAGUGUCAGACGAGUCUGGAUGGCAGGGGUUACAUGCUGUCCCUCAACCGAGUGCCAUCUCACCCGGGACCCAUCAUAGCCCAUGCAGGACCCAUCGGUUCAUCUUCUGCUGCAGCGUUCAUAGUUCUAGAGCCUGGACCUUGGAUGCAAAACAUUCAAACUCACCGAGUGUUGAAAAGAGGGUCAAGAGGAGCCAAGCAACUCAUGGAACUUUUCUCCCGGGUAAGAAACCUGCAUCCCAGGGUCACAGUCCCCUCUCUUUGUGUCUUUUUUCCCCUUUGUGUCUUUAAUUUGUUCCUCACCACUAGUUAUUUUACUUCAUCCUACAAAUAGACCCCCAAAUCAAGAAUGCAACUGGCUACGAGGCACAGAUCCUCCUGAGUAUCUGGUGGGUGACUCCCGUGUAACCCAUUCAAAAUGGAAUCCAUCAGGUGCUACUCCCCCGCCUACAUCCACCUCCCCAGACCUGUUCUAUUCCUGUACACUAUUUACUGAUAUAUAAACACACUCAAUCUAAAAACCUUUUUCAUAAGCAGAAGUUCAUAUAAAUGACUAUUAAUUCUCACUCUUAUUAAUGUCACAGUAACAUUUUUCUAGUAAUAGAAAAGUAAGCUUAAACAUUAAGCUAGUGAUAUUGACAACAUAAAUUGUAUUAUAAAGGUAACUGUAAACUCUGCAAUUACACUAAUAAAAUAAAAAUUUCUAAAGUGAC